GCCAGCAGCCGCGGUAAUACGGAGGGUGCAAGCGUUGUUCGGAUUUAUUGGGCGUAAAGCGCGUGUAGGCGGUUUCUUAAGUCUGAUGUGAAAGCCCUGGGCUCAACCCAGGAAGUGCAUUGGAUACUGGGAGACUUGAAUACGGGAGAGGGUAGUGGAAUUCCUAGUGUAGGAGUGAAAUCCGUAGAUAUUAGGAGGAACACCGGUGGCGAAGGCGGCUACCUGGACCGAUAUUGACGCUGAGACGCGAAAGCGUGGGGAGCAAACAGGAUUAGAUACCCUGGUAGUCCACGCCGUAAACGAUGAGUACUAGGUGUCGCGGGUA
This 325-nucleotide ribosomal RNA is filed under the name uncultured Geobacter sp. Its description in RNAcentral is "bacterial SSU rRNA". It matches the Rfam family "Bacterial small subunit ribosomal RNA", at positions 507 to 831 of the family's 1533-position model. Lineage: Bacteria; Pseudomonadati; Thermodesulfobacteriota; Desulfuromonadia; Geobacterales; Geobacteraceae. The record is from RNAcentral.